Mandrillus leucophaeus (drill) is the source of this 1230-nucleotide RNA transcript. It is a transcript of the gene named prostate tumor-overexpressed gene 1 protein pseudogene, with no coding region annotated. The transcript has a single exon. Lineage: Eukaryota; Metazoa; Chordata; Mammalia; Primates; Cercopithecidae. The record is from RefSeq and is a predicted model, not a curated record.
CCGCAGCCUCUGCAGCCCCGGGCCUGCUCGGCCCCUCCCAUGAAAAGUGCUCGCGUCUUCGGGGCGCUGGGUGCCACCGGUCCCUCCUCACCUGGGCUCACCCUCAGGGGUCUGACCGUGAGUGAGCACCGGCUCAGCAACAAGCUGCUGGCCUGGAGCGGCGUCCUCGAGUGACAGGAGAAGCGCAGACUCUACUCCGACUCCACUGUAAAGUUGAAGCGCGCCCUGCUCUGCCAAGCCUAUGUGAACCUGGAGACCAACCAGUGGCAGCUGAAGCUGAUCAUGCAGCUGAUCCCGCUGAAGCUGAUGGCCACGCUGAGACCCCUGUUGCUUGCUCAACAGGCUCUGCCGCAUCAUGAGCAACGGCUUCGCGGGCUGCAUGUCGUUUCCCCACAUCUCCCCCUGCAAGAUGUGCGUGCUCAUGUUCCUGUACUCUUCCAGGACGAAGAUCUUCAUGGGCUUCAUCCCCUACGACCAGAGCGGCUUCGUCAGCGCCAUCCAGCAGGUCAUCACUACCCACAAGCAGGCAGUGGGACCUGGUGGUGUCAACUCAGGCCCAGUCAACAAGAAGUUCCUGGCGUGGAGCAGCGUCAUGGAGUGGCAGGAACCCAGGCCUGCUCCCAACAGUCGGUCCAAGAGGUGGCUGCGGUCCCACGUCUACGUGAACCAGGGGAGAUCCUGAGGACCGAGCAGUGGCCGAGGAAGCUGUACAUGCAGCUCAUUCCACAGCAGCUGCUGACCACCCUGGUGCUGCUGUUGCAGAACUAGAGCCUGGUGCACUUCCACUUCACCAAGGACCUGGAGACGCUUAAGAGCCUGUGCCAGAUCAUGGACAAUGGCUUCGCCGGGUGAGUGCACUUUUCCUACAAAGUAUCGUGCGAGAUCCGUGUGCUCAUGCUCCUGUACUCCUCUGAGAAGAAAAUCUUCAUCGGCCUCAUCCCCCAGGGCAACUUCCUCAAUGGCAUACUGCAAGUCAUUGCCAACCAGCGCAGGUCCUGCAGUGGAACCUGGAACAGGAGCAGCAGCAGCAAGGAAUGGGGGGUAGUGGCUACCCUGGAUGGGCCCCUUCAGGAGUCACAGACUAGGCCCCCGCAGAGACUGGUGACACGCUUCUGAGCAGGAGCCCCGGGGGACUUCGACUGCCCAGCAACAUGGAGGAUGGCGUCCUGGGGCCUCCAAGGACGGUCUUCACCACUGUACGUUUCCCCAGUAAAGCCUUUUAAAAACCAA